This 24-nucleotide non-coding RNA is filed under the name Arabidopsis thaliana (thale cress). Lineage: Eukaryota; Viridiplantae; Streptophyta; Magnoliopsida; Brassicales; Brassicaceae. The record is from RNAcentral.
ACUGUUUCACAGUUAGUUUCUCGU